AUACGGAGGGUGCAAGCGUUACUCGGAAUCACUGGGCGUAAAGCGCGUGCAGGCGGGCUGAUAAGUUGGAUGUGAAAGCCUACGGCUCAACCGUAGAACUGCAUCCAAAACUGUCAGUCUAGAGUCUGGGAGGGGAAGAUGGAAUUAGUUGUGUAGGGGUAAAAUCCGUAGAGAUAACUAGGAAUACCAAAAGCGAAGGCGAUCUUCUGGAACAGUACUGACGCUGAGGCGCGAAAGCGUGGGGAGCAAACAGGAUUAGAUACCCUAGUAGUCC
RNAcentral lists this ribosomal RNA (274 nucleotides) under uncultured bacterium. Its description in RNAcentral is "partial 16S ribosomal RNA". It matches the Rfam family "Bacterial small subunit ribosomal RNA", at positions 523 to 796 of the family's 1533-position model. The record is from RNAcentral.